AUGACUCACUACUGUAAGUCUCUCUGGAUAAGAGCGUCUGCUAAAUGACUCUCU
Molecule: non-coding RNA, 54 nt
Organism: Salmo salar (Atlantic salmon)
Lineage: Eukaryota; Metazoa; Chordata; Actinopteri; Salmoniformes; Salmonidae
Source: Rfam